GGCUAUUAUGCCAACUCUCCCCAUCGAAGAAAAUUUAACCGGACAUUUCUCUCAUCAGAUACGCUAUUUCGAAUCUCAUAUUUGGUUAGCUUCACAGAUGAAUUAAUAUUCAUGCACGUGACGUUUCUUACCCGGAUGCGUAUUAAUGUUGCAUAUUUAUAUUUAUACUUAUGGACAAAGUGUAUUAAUGCCUAAAUUUUUCUCUUAUCUCCUAGAAUUCCUUUUUUUUUAUUUUAACAGCACCAAAUGGAACAGGCGAAGAAAUUCUACAAAGAUAUCGCUAGUCGCCGCAAAAAAAAACACGCACGGAGGCAAUUAAGAGGCAAUCGUUGCGCCAAUUUAGGAACAAUGUGCCCACACAACUACGUAAAACUGGGUAUGUCACGAUAAUCAGUCGUGCAACAGGUAGGUGAUAUAAAUUGUAUUAAAUCGCUUAAUUCUACCUUACCCUACCUAAAGAGCUCUCUGGGGGUGGUAA
Molecule: long non-coding RNA, 478 nt
Organism: Drosophila novamexicana
Lineage: Eukaryota; Metazoa; Arthropoda; Insecta; Diptera; Drosophilidae
Exons: 3
Source: RefSeq, a predicted model, not a curated record